AGUUCGGCCACGUCCCUGGCCACGUCGCGGGCGCUCUCGCCAUCUUCGCCGCUUCCUCUCAGGGGCUGCCGCUGCCUGAGCCGCCCAGCCCCGGGGCCGCCGCGCUGCGCCGACCGCCGCCGCCGCCAUGAACAUCUUCCGGCUGACUGGGGACCUGUCCCACUUGGCGGCCAUCGUCAUCCUGCUGCUGAAGAUCUGGAAGACGCGCUCCUGCGCGGGUGGAUUGGCAUUCUGACGUUGUAUCUCAUGCACAGAGGGAAGCUGGACUGUGCUGGUGGAGCCUUGCUCAGCAGUUACUUGAUCGUCCUCAUGAUUCUCCUGGCAGUUGUCAUAUGUACUGUGUCAGCCAUCAUGUGUGUCAGCAUGAGAG
Molecule: small RNA, 370 nt
Filed under: Pongo abelii (Sumatran orangutan)
Lineage: Eukaryota; Metazoa; Chordata; Mammalia; Primates; Hominidae
Description: processed transcript
Source: RNAcentral